UUUACGGCAGGAAGGCCUGCCCGCGGGAGCCUCGGCCGCCUGCCCGGGGCCUGUGUCUGCCCAGCAGAUGGAUUUCACCGGCUGCAGGAGGGAUGGCUACCCAGCGUUAACCAUCACCAUGGAGCAGCCGGUCAGCCCCAGCUAGGCUGGCGGAGGGGCACCCUGCGGCUGGUCAGGCCCCUGUGGCCCCCUAACACUCACAGCCAUCCUUCAUCCCCCAGCCCGUCCCAGGAAGCGGUCUGGGCCCUGCUGUUAUGGAGCUACCCGGAGAGAAAGGCAGAACAAGAAAUUUGCCCUUUUCGUUCCGUUUCGUGUGCCUUUCCUGAAGACCCGUGGGGACCAGAAACAUCUUCGGAUUUCCGCCGGCUGGGCACCUGGCUCCCUCCACAGGCAUCUCCUUCGCUGCGGUCACCCAAAUACGUGGAAGAAACACUUCCACUCGAGACAGGAGACCUCAGCCGAGCAGGCUCUGCCGCUUGUAGCUGAGUGACCCCACCACCGACCUCAGCUGUCUUCCCCUGGGCCGCCCCCUUUGCGAGAAGAACUGAGAACCACCGGGGAUGUGGAAAGCCCUGGAGGCGGGGAGCAGCCCAGGAGCAGCCUGUGUCCAGCUCAGUGGGUCCCAGCGUUGCAAACGCUGCAGCAACUCUGCUGAGCAACUUACACACACACACACACACACACACACACACACACACACACCCUGCUUCGCUUGAGAGGAUGGGGCAGCGUCUGCUGCGGGGUACAAGGCUCUGUGCGUGUCAGGAACUGUAGCGGCACCAAUAACAAUCUUACUUGUCACCCGGGGACGUGGCCUGCUGCAGUGUCACGGGUGCGGACAUAAGACUCGUGACUCCCGGACCACAGACAAGGACUUCAUCCCAGCACGGCCGGCAGGCAGCAGGCGCUCACUGCUGUGCCGAGUCUUCUUGCCGCUUGAGUCCCAAGAGGGUGAUACGGAGGGUCCCAGUCGGAUGCUGGCCAUGCGGUGGGUUUGUGUCACAGCUGGGGGACAGCUCAGGGAGCCCUGAGUUUGUGCCAUGGGCUGCAAGCAAACUGGCUUCCAUUUCCCCUGGAGGAGCAUUUGUCUCCAUUCUACAUGGUGACAUAUUUGUCUUUUGAAAUGUGGUGCCCAACACACGUGAUGCGAGAUUGGGAAGAUUUAGGUUGGAUUCUCCACAGCACCCUGAGCCAGGAAAUGCUGAUUUUCUGGAAAGAAGGGGAAAGAAGAAAGAAAAUCUAUUAAAAACAUUCGUUCCCCCCACCUCCCCAAAGAAAGUCCAACAAAACCAAAUAACAAAGCUUUGCAAUGUGAGUGGCUGUGGGGGCUGGGGUUCUGUUUACUUCCGUGAACACGCGUGAUGAAGGGGUGGGCGUGGUGGUCAGGAUGAGAUGGGGAAGUAGGGGAUCAAGC
Molecule: long non-coding RNA, 1414 nt
Organism: Pipistrellus kuhlii (Kuhl's pipistrelle)
Lineage: Eukaryota; Metazoa; Chordata; Mammalia; Chiroptera; Vespertilionidae
Exons: 3
Source: RefSeq, a predicted model, not a curated record